Lagopus leucura (white-tailed ptarmigan) is the source of this 407-nucleotide long non-coding RNA. RefSeq lists it as uncharacterized. Lineage: Eukaryota; Metazoa; Chordata; Aves; Galliformes; Phasianidae. The transcript has 2 exons. The record is from RefSeq and is a predicted model, not a curated record.
GCCGGGGAUCGGCGGGAAACGUCGGGGACGGGAGCCCGAGGCCCUCGCGGUGGCCGCUCGUGUUGGGCUGCGAUUACAGGGCGCGAACGGGGCUCCGGCGCCUGCUGUGGCAUUUUGGCUCAAACGCCGUUUUUAUUCGUUUUGGCUGUUUUUUACGCGCUCGUUCUGCGACAACGGAACUCUGUUGAAUUGGAUCGCUGCUGCUACGUGAGAGAGAGAGGGGAACUGAUAAGCCGUGCUCUCUGUUUCUCCUCAGGACACCAUAGAUGAUGUCUCAUAGAGACCUUGGACUUGGAGUGCCAUCAAUCCUGUUGAUUGGCUCCUCCUGACAGCUUAGGGCAGUAAUUUACUGUUAAUACCAUCAUACUUGCCUACCAAUGUAGUCCUAUUAAAGAGGUGAAACAAUA